GGAGAGGGCAAGUGUUAUUCGCAUUGACUGGGUGUAAAGGGUGCGUAGGUGGCUUGUUAAGUUUCAAAGUAAAGGUUAAACUCAAAGUUUAAAGGCUUUUUAAUACUAACAGGCUAGAGUUUACUAGAAGAUAGCUGAACAUUAAGUGUAAAGGUGAAAUUUUUCGAUAUUUAAAGGACAUGCAAUAGGCGAAGGCUGCUAUCUAUUUUAAUACUGACACUGAGGCACAAAAGCAUAGGGAUCAAACAGGAUUAGAGACCCUGGUAGUCUAUGCCCUGACCGAUGAAUAUUGAUUAUACUGCAAGGUAUAAUUAAGCUAACGCGUAAAUAUUCCACCUGAGUACUACGACCGCAAGGUUAAAACUCAAAGG
Molecule: ribosomal RNA, 371 nt
Filed under: uncultured Acanthamoeba
Lineage: Eukaryota; Discosea; Longamoebia; Acanthamoebidae
Description: bacterial SSU rRNA
Rfam family: Bacterial small subunit ribosomal RNA
Source: RNAcentral